AGUGAACGCUGGCGGCAGGCCUAACACAUGCAAGUCGAGCGGCAGCGCGUCCGACCACCCUCGGGUGGUCGGAUGGCGGCGAGCGGCGGACGGGUGAGGAAUGCAUCGGAAUCUGCCUCGUUGUGGGGGAUAACGUAGGGAAACUUACGCUAAUACCGCAUACGACCUACGGGUGAAAGUGGGGGACCUUCGGGCCUCACGCGAUGAGAUGAGCCGAUGCCGGAUUAGCUAGUUGGCGGGGUAAAGGCCCACCAAGGCGACGAUCCGUAGCUGGUCUGAGAGGAUGAUCAGCCACACUGGAACUGAGACACGGUCCAGACUCCUACGGGAGGCAGCAGUGGGGAAUUUUGGACAAUGGGCGCAAGCCUGAUCCAGCCAUGCCGCGUGCGGGAAGAA
RNAcentral lists this ribosomal RNA (396 nucleotides) under uncultured bacterium. Its description in RNAcentral is "bacterial SSU rRNA". It matches the Rfam family "Bacterial small subunit ribosomal RNA", at positions 30 to 412 of the family's 1533-position model. The record is from RNAcentral.